RNAcentral lists this long non-coding RNA (881 nucleotides) under Trifolium pratense (red clover). RNAcentral describes it as "long non-coding RNA (TPRA_LNC006944)". The record is from RNAcentral. Lineage: Eukaryota; Viridiplantae; Streptophyta; Magnoliopsida; Fabales; Fabaceae.
GGUCCUGUUUGUGUUCAUUUUGUCCAGCUUUCUAGUACAUGAUUUGGUGGGAGCUCUGCAACCCUUCAUAGAAGGUGGGUAGGUAGUGCGUUUCCACUUUGAUGCUGAGCCAGGUCUAGUGUUGUUUUGUAAGGCCGGGUUAGAGUACCCCUUGUACUUGCUUUUUUGUUGAAUAAAUUCUUUUGAUUAUAAAAAAUUAAAUUAAAUUUUCUUGUUUAGUUUUAAUUUUCUUAUACGUACUAUCAACUUGAAGUGAAACAUGACUUGCCAUUAGCUGGUUUGGUUGAUAAUUUGAAGCGUGUUUAUCAAGCUUUCUCUAAAACUGUGUUUAUGUGAUACUCAGUUUAUUUGAAAAAAUUGUAUUUCAGGAAGAACAACCUUGAAUGUGGAGAGUUUUAGCUGCUAUCACAAUAUCUACAAUUUUGAAGAUCAACAUCUGAUCAAGGCAACAUGACGAGUGAUUGAUAUCAUCAUUGAGUAGUNNNNNNUCACGUCAUGAAAUCAAAGAAGUUCCAGCUCUUGCACCAACUUUUGAACAAUUCUCAUGUUAUGUCUAUUGGGUUAUCAUCACCAUCGUUGCAAUUAUUACUCAGGUUAAAUGCCUCACUCCUGACUCAUGCGCUUUAUUGUUAUUAUUAUUGUUGAGACCUUGUACAUAAUUAAUUUAGCUACAUUAAUACAAUUAACAGUCACUAAUAAUUUUCAUUUUACUUUCAGGGAACCAAUUUAUGAGAAGCCGUUCGGAACUUGAAUGGUACCACGAUUCAAACUAAUGGUGUAAAGAAGUGUAAAUAACUCUCUGAAAACUUUAUGUCCACUCAAUGUCAUGGAUACUAUGCUAAUUAAACUAUCAAAAUGUUGCAUGAUAAAAAUUUAUCUUC